UCCACUAAUUCCAUACAAAUGUAUAAAAGAUCCACUAAAUCCACAAAAGUCAUCACUUAAAAAAAUCCAUAAAAGUUUUCAAAAGUCCCAAUUGAAUACACCCCCUUUAGCUCUUUUGCAUUCCCGAUUCGUCUUUUAGUUCAACUUUUGGAUAUUUGCGCUUUGAUCCUUGAACUUUUACUUUGCUUCGUUUUGGCCCUUUUCGAAUAUUUUCUUGUGGAUUCCAACAUGUCCAUCAAUAUAGCCUACAACAUACAAAUCAAACGAAAUUAAACCACAAUUCAAACACUUUGCUCGUGAUUUAGUCAUGUUUGUAAAUUAAAUGAGUGCAUAAAAAUACACUUAUCACAAGUAAAUAACCUUCUUGACUCAAAUAUAUACUUUCAGCUUACCCCCAAUCUUUUAUUUGGUUAAAUAAGGAUUCUUGUAAGGAAAACUCCACAACCUUAGUUGACGACAAACAUAUAAAAAGCAAUAAAAUAUUAUAUACAAAAAAAUAAGUCAAAUAUCUCAUAUUAAAAAGGUAGAUGAUACAUAACAUCUAGGUUCACUUCUCGCAAGUUGUCUGUGACUAAAAAUUUAAGGCAAAGUUCAAAUGUAGAAAAAUUAAUAGUCCUUUAAAUUUGAAACGAGAUAAUUGUGUCUUACUAACUCUACCUAUGAUGCUUGGACUCAAGUACAAGUAUCGAGUACGGAUAUGUAUCUAAGUGUUGGAUUGUUUAUUUUCUAAAACGUAAG
Molecule: long non-coding RNA, 738 nt
Filed under: Olea europaea subsp. europaea
Lineage: Eukaryota; Viridiplantae; Streptophyta; Magnoliopsida; Lamiales; Oleaceae
Source: RNAcentral